AGUGAACGCUGGCGGCAGGCCUAACACAUGCAAGUCGAGCGAACGCACAAUAAGCGUUCGCUUCUGCGGGUGGCGGGUGGCGGAUGGGUGACACGUACAUCGCCUUCCACUUUUUCGUGGGGGACAACGUAGGACCACAUCUGAUACCACAGCAUACGUCCAACCGCAUGGAGCAGGGGUUCAUGACGCUUUUCCCGUCACUUAUAGAUGAAGUCGCGUCGGAUUAGCUAGUUGGUAAGGUAACGGCUUACCAAGGCAACGAUGCGUAGCCGAUCUGAGAGGAUGAUCGGCCACACUGGAACUGAGACACGGUCCAGACUCCUACGGGAGGCAGCAGUAGGGAAUAUUGCGCAAUGGGCGAAAGCCUGACGGAGCAACGCCGCGUGAGUGAUGAAGGUCUUCGGAUCGUAAAACUCUGUUAUUAGGGAAGAAAAAAUGUGGAAGAAACCCCGCCUGUUCUGACGGUACCUAAUGAGAAAGCAACGGCUAACUACGUG
This 497-nucleotide ribosomal RNA is filed under the name uncultured bacterium. RNAcentral describes it as "partial 16S ribosomal RNA". It matches the Rfam family "Bacterial small subunit ribosomal RNA", at positions 29 to 507 of the family's 1533-position model. The record is from RNAcentral.